Non-coding RNA from Ovis aries (sheep), 73 nucleotides. Lineage: Eukaryota; Metazoa; Chordata; Mammalia; Artiodactyla; Bovidae. The record is from Rfam.
UCCCUCAUAGAUCAGUUGGUAAAGAAUCUGCCUGCAAUGCAGGAGACCUGGGUUCGAUUCCUGGGUCAGGGAG